Coregonus clupeaformis (lake whitefish) is the source of this 621-nucleotide long non-coding RNA. RefSeq lists it as uncharacterized. The record is from RefSeq and is a predicted model, not a curated record. The transcript is spliced from 4 exons. Lineage: Eukaryota; Metazoa; Chordata; Actinopteri; Salmoniformes; Salmonidae.
GUAAGAGAAACACACUAAAACUACAACAAAUGUUUAUAUGAAUAUGUUAGGGGUAUCAUAGUUAUUUUUUAAAAAUGUGUUGCGUUUGCAGAAUAUUUGUUAUGAGUAAGUUAGCAUGUUCUCUACCACUGGCUGCUAGCUAACUAGCUUUUUAAAAACUACAUUUAAAACUCUUGCUUCCAUGGAAAGGGACAAAUGAGCUGGCUUGGACAGUUUCACCACUACCAUGUGAGUUCUCUUCUUUUCCCUUACAGCUAAGACUACAGGGAGCACACAAAACACACACAUACACCUAGUAUUUCACUGUAAUUCUUUACCUUGUAUUUCUAACAGUUUAGCAGAAGGCCACCACACCACAUUAGUUGUUAAGUGCAUGAGAAAACAAUACAUUUACUAAUUCAUCUGUUUCUGAUUCUUUGUCUCAUUUGGAGCUCCAUUAGUCCAGUAGUCUACCAGUUAAAGUUAAGACAGAGCCUGUAAACAACAGUGAGACUGACUACCACAGAAGGCAGCACUGGACAGCCAUGCAGGCGAAGGAAUCAUCUUUUAUACAGUGCUAGUGAAAUGGACAAACACGUCAGCUGUUGCUUCAUUGGAUAAUAAAAUUGCCAUGCAAUCAUA